AUACGGAGGACGCGAGCGUUAUCCGGAUUCAUUGGGUUUAAAGGGUGCGCAGGCGGCCGUGCAAGUCAGCGGUGAAAGCCCGGGGCCCAACCCCGGAAGUGCCGUUGAUACUGCAUGGCUUGAAUGCGGUCGAGGCGGGCGGGACGUGGCGGGGAGCGGUGAAAUGCGUAGAUGGGCCACAGAACGCCGAUAGCGGAGGCAGCUCGCCAGGCCUGCAUUGACGCUCGGGCACGAAAGCGUGGGGAUCGAACAGGAUUAGAUACCCGGGUAGUCCACGCCGUAAACGAUGGGCGCUCGUCGUCGGCGGCAGACAGUCGGCGGCCAAGCGAAAGCGAUAAGCGCCCCACCUGGGGAGUACGGUCGCAAGGCUGAAACUCAAAUGAAUUGGCGGG
This 392-nucleotide ribosomal RNA is filed under the name uncultured bacterium. RNAcentral's name for it is "partial 16S ribosomal RNA". It matches the Rfam family "Bacterial small subunit ribosomal RNA", at positions 523 to 917 of the family's 1533-position model. The record is from RNAcentral.